UUGUGAGGUUAAGCGACUAAGCGUACACGGUGGAUGCCCUGGCAGUCAGAGGCGAUGAAGGACGUGCUAAUCUGCGAUAAGCGUCGGUGAGGUGAUAUGAACCGUUAUAACCGGCGAUUUCCGAAUGGGGAAACCCAGUGUGUUUCGACACACUAUCAUUAACUGAAUCCAUAGGUUAAUGAGGCGAACCGGGGGAACUGAAACAUCUAAGUACCCCGAGGAAAAGAAAUCAACCGAGAUUCCCCCAGUAGCGGCGAGCGAACGGGGAGGAGCCCAGAGCCUGAAUCAGUGUGUGUGUUAGUGGAAGCGUCUGGAAAGGCGCGCGAUACAGGGUGACAGCCCCGUACACAAAAAUGCACAUAUUGUGAGCUCGAUGAGUAGGGCGGGACACGUGGUAUCCUGUCUGAAUAUGGGGGGACCAUCCUCCAAGGCUAAAUACUCCUGACUGACCGAUAGUGAACCAGUACCGUGAGGGAAAGGCGAAAAGAACCCCGGCGAGGGGAGUGAAAAAGAACCUGAAACCGUGUACGUACAAGCAGUGGGAGCCUCUUAAUGGGGUGACUGCGUACCUUUUGUAUAAUGGGUCAGCGACUUAUAUUCUGUAGCAAGGUUAACCGAAUAGGGGAGCCGAAGGGAAACCGAGUCUUAACUGGGCGUUAAGUUGCAGGGUAUAGACCCGAAACCCGGUGAUCUAGCCAUGGGCAGGUUGAAGGUUGGGUAACACUAACUGGAGGACCGAACCGACUAAUGUUGAAAAAUUAGCGGAUGACUUGUGGCUGGGGGUGAAAGGCCAAUCAAACCGGGAGAUAGCUGGUUCUCCCCGAAAGCUAUUUAGGUAGCGCCUCGUGAAUUCAUCUCCGGGGGUAGAGCACUGUUUCGGCAAGGGGGUCAUCCCGACUUACCAACCCGAUGCAAACUGCGAAUACCGGAGAAUGUUAUCACGGGAGACACACGGCGGGUGCUAACGUCCGUCGUGAAGAGGGAAACAACCCAGACCGCCAGCUAAGGUCCCAAAGUCAUGGUUAAGUGGGAAACGAUGUGGGAAGGCCCAGACAGCCAGGAUGUUGGCUUAGAAGCAGCCAUCAUUUAAAGAAAGCGUAAUAGCUCACUGGUCGAGUCGGCCUGCGCGGAAGAUGUAACGGGGCUAAACCAUGCACCGAAGCUGCGGCAGCGACGCUUAUGCGUUGUUGGGUAGGGGAGCGUUCUGUAAGCCUGUGAAGGUGUGCUGUGAGGCAUGCUGGAGGUAUCAGAAGUGCGAAUGCUGACAUAAGUAACGAUAAAGCGGGUGAAAAGCCCGCU
This 1299-nucleotide ribosomal RNA is filed under the name Escherichia coli. RNAcentral describes it as "partial 23S ribosomal RNA". It matches the Rfam family "Bacterial large subunit ribosomal RNA", at positions 1 to 1334 of the family's 2925-position model. The record is from RNAcentral. Lineage: Bacteria; Pseudomonadati; Pseudomonadota; Gammaproteobacteria; Enterobacterales; Enterobacteriaceae.